RNAcentral lists this long non-coding RNA (876 nucleotides) under Homo sapiens (human). RNAcentral's name for it is "HSALNT0335492". The record is from RNAcentral. Lineage: Eukaryota; Metazoa; Chordata; Mammalia; Primates; Hominidae.
AGAAGAGCCACCGCGCGCGCUCCCGCUAAUUCGCGACCACACCCCUGUCUACUUCCAUGUCCAAUAGGUGCGAGAGGGCGGGACGGCCUCGUUCUGACUCCGGGAGGCUAUAUAAGGAGCUACUGGCUGCGCACUUCGGUCUUUUACGUCGGCCUUCGCGAGCGUCUGGGCGGGUGGUAGGAACAAUGGCGCUGUCUUCAGUGGCACAGUGGAGCAGCUCUGAAGAUGCAAAGAUACACGAAAAAACUUCCAGAACAUCUGGGAGAAUAUUUAAUGGAAAAUCGCUUGGUUAAAACCUGACACUUUUAACAGUGAACAGCGUUCUGAGUGUGGACGAGUAGCCAGUGAAGAUAAUGAAUGUCGAAUGUGACUGACUAGCAGCUUCAUUUUGAAUGAGGGUCGCUGUCUGCCCAUUGAUAGAGGCCAGAUUGUCUUGGAAGUUCCAAAGUUGCAACGAUUUCUGGCUAGUGCCACGAGGUUUACUUGACUGUUGUGUGAAAAGCUGAUAAGAAAACCAUCCAGAAAAAAGCUCUUCGUUUUACAAACAUGAAAAUAAAACAUUUAGUUGAAUCCAUGGACAUGAAACCCACAGAUAUAGAGGGUUGGCCCGGUGCAGUGGCUCACGCCUGUAAUCCCAGCACUUUGGGAGGCCAAGGCGGGUGGAUCACCUGAGGUCAGAAGCUUGAGACCAGCCUGGCCAACAUGGGUACUGCUUUCUCUUGCUGCAGCUUGCUUCCUCCCUCAGGUAUGAAGUUAAGCGUCUCGCUCUGUCACCCAGGCUGGAGUGCAAUGGCGUGAUCUCGGCUCACUGCAACCUCCGCCUCCCAGGUUCAAGGGAUUCUCCCGCCUCAGCCUCCCGAGUAGCUGGGACAACAG